GGACAUGAGGGUGAUCUGGCUGCCACCUCUGUCACCCCAUUGAUGACCAGGGUAGAUUCAACUGAUCUGAUUGAUGUGGUUGGUGUCCUCUCCCUCCGUCACUGUUUUAUGCAUGUCCCUCCUGAAGCAGAGGACAGCCUUCUCCAAUAGAGGAGGACCAUUCUUUGGUCAAGGACAUAAGAGUAACUGCCCUCCCCUGCUAGAACUUCCAAACAAGCUCUCUAAGAGAGUCAAAAUUCAUUCUCUUUAUAAUAGCCAUAUAUCAGCCUUAAGCCUGAUUCACUGCUAUUUU
Molecule: small nuclear RNA, 292 nt
Filed under: Nannospalax galili (Upper Galilee mountains blind mole rat)
Lineage: Eukaryota; Metazoa; Chordata; Mammalia; Rodentia; Spalacidae
Description: 7SK RNA (ENSNGAG00000007213.1)
Rfam family: 7SK RNA
About the family: 7SK was discovered as an abundant small nuclear RNA in the mid-70s but a possible function has only recently been suggested. Two independent studies have found that 7SK RNA binds the CDK9/cyclin T complex (known as elongation factor P-TEFb).
Source: RNAcentral